This 719-nucleotide long non-coding RNA is filed under the name Scleropages formosus (Asian bonytongue). RNAcentral describes it as "lncRNA (ENSSFOG00015028098.1)". Lineage: Eukaryota; Metazoa; Chordata; Actinopteri; Osteoglossiformes; Osteoglossidae. The record is from RNAcentral.
GCUAGCUCUGCGCUCCGGCUAGCCACUCUUUAUAACUUUUUUUCCUUCCCUCCUUCACAGAGUAUACGUUCCACUAUGUCAGUAUGAAAACUUGAGGCUGAAGGUGUUUUUCGGUGCCUCCGAAGUAAAUGAUGUUGCCGUCAACUUGAAAUGACAUGCGCUGACUAAGGAAAGAGGAGCUCUUGGUGUCACUGAUAUCGAAUCCUAAGGAAUGUGUCGAACAGCCCUUCUGUGUUUGUUUCACCCUCAGUGACACCCCACGUCGUCGACUGGAUCUCUCCAACAUCAGUGCGGAGGGUCCUGAUGCUGCUGUCCUUUUGGAAUCUCCAAAACAUGAAGCAAACACAGGUUGGUUUUUUUAUUUAUUUAUUUAUUUUUUUUAAAUGAUACAUUCACUCCAGCAUUCAACAGUGCAACUUAAAAAAAAAAACUGCUAUAAUUAAUGUUAAAGUUGUUGCUCUUUCCUCCCCCUCCCCCAUAUGUUCACAACUGUUCCCAGAUCAGUCUGUGUCUCUUCUUUCACCGUGGGACUCUCCUGCACCCCGGAACAGUCGUAUGAAGAAGUUUAGGUCUUUUCUGCCCCAGCUGCUGUGCAGCAGCCCAAAGUCCCAUUCUGGUAGCCAAGGUCAGCAAGGUCCUCCGAACAGCAACAAGGAGAAUGUGAGUACAGCACAAGGUGGUCUUUUCUGUUUGGUUUGUUAAAAGUAGGAAAAUGCAAC